AAGUCGUAACAAGGUUUCCGUAGGUGAACCUGCGGAAGGAUCAUUAACACGUAUCCAACGUUAAACCCCCCUGUGAACUUUUAUACUUGCUCUCUUAACUGACGGAAUUGCAAUCCCUGGUAAAUCAUUGUUGAACAGAUUUUGAUUCAGGGACCUCAGUUUGGCAGUUAGGAUUGAGCGAUCGUUGCAAGUGGCCUGGUUUCCCCAAGCAGUCAGUGUCUGAAAGUGGCAUUGAUUGUGUAAGGAUAACGCUUUUCGAUCACUAGAGGCCGACACCGGCCGGUGACCAGGUCGCCGUGGCUUCGGCCCCCUAUCGUAGGAAACUGCUGGGCAACAAAACGAACAACUGUUAACAAUGGAUAUCUUGGUUCUC
RNAcentral lists this unclassified non-coding RNA (373 nucleotides) under fungal sp. RNAcentral describes it as "partial internal transcribed spacer region". The stretch from base 1 to 46 matches the Rfam family "Eukaryotic small subunit ribosomal RNA", at positions 1786 to 1831 of the family's 1831-position model. The record is from RNAcentral. Lineage: Eukaryota; Fungi.